Long non-coding RNA from Gallus gallus (chicken), 4742 nucleotides. NCBI's taxonomy places the organism in Eukaryota, Metazoa, Chordata, Aves, Galliformes, Phasianidae. The record is from Ensembl.
GGGAGAAGGACGGGAGGAAGGGGAAAGGGGAAGGGGAAGGAAAGAGAGAGAAAGAAAGAAGGUAGCGGCAGCGCGCACACUCUCACACCCCCGCUGGAAAAAUGUGAGCUUUCGGUGAAUACGACGAGACUGCUUGUUUUCCCCCGCAAUGAUCACUGCGUUUCUCAAGCAGUUUGCACCUACUUACGGACCUCGCAUCUUCAGCCUUGGAUCUUAAAGGAACUGAUAACUCCUCUUCCAGAAAACUGUUCGGUAACAGGUUUCCUGCCCCGGGCUUUACAAGGAUCGCUCUUGUCUCAGAGCCACCGUGUACGUACGAUUCUUUUUUUCACGGAUUUUGGUGGGGUUUUUUUUUGUUUUUUUUUUGUUUUGUUUUUUGUUUUUUGUUUUUUUUUUUUGCGGGGGGUGGGGGAGGGCGUUAUAUAUUUUUCUGUUACCUUUUCUGCCUGUGAAGUAAUCAGGGAGAACGGCGGGAGGCUCCAUAAAUAUGCAAAUUGGCGCCAGAUAACUGGUUUCGCUGGUUCCGCCUUGGGACUCCCGCCGGGCGGCUCCGCGGGGGAGAUUGUCGCCCCCGGCCCCACGACCCGCCCCCUCUCCCCCCUCCCCGCGCCGGGCACCGCUCUCCGAGCGCGGUCCUUCCCCUCUCCCCGCCGCUGCCGCAGCUCUUCGACGCGUGCCCGCGCCUUCCAGCUCCCUGGCAGCGUCCCGAAGGAGCACCGCGUCUCGUGGCUGCUGGGUGUCACGGGGCAAAAAGUGCGGUAGGCUGAACCGUGCUCGGGCCCUUAUCCUUUCUAACUCGGCAUCCGAAGGAUUAAAAGCAGUAACUGGCUUCCGAAUUGUAAAAUGUUAAAAUGAAAGUUUGAUUCGUGGUUAAACACUCGCGGGAGCGCAUCCUUUGUGGAUUCUGAUUUGACUCUGCUGUUAAACCGACAUCGGUACUGCGCUGACGCUUUAAUUAAUAAAAGUGGUUAGAGUCCUCUCUGUCAUCUCGUUGCUUACCAGCCUCCACACAAACCGUUUCAAGAUUCUGUCUAAAUAGGAGAAUGAGAAGGGAAACAUAAGCCGCCAAAGUUACUUUGAAGGCAGAGAAGCCAGGCGGCUGACACUGAGAGGCAGGGUUUGGUCUGCAGCUCUCCGCAAUCGUCGCAGCUCCCCGCCGCGGAAGCCCGCCCGGCAGCCCGUGCUGCGACGGCACUGCGCUCGCGGAGCGCAGAGGGUGGGAGGGGAGAGGCGCUGCCACUGCCCCCGAGAUUCCCUGUGCCUGUGGAGCCGGGCCUCGCUGGGAAGGAGACGGGGGCGGCCAGAUGGACAAAGGCUGUGGGCAGAUCCGCCUCCGUGUGAGGUAGGGCGGGCGGCAAUGGCCUCGUCCGCGGAGAAGGAAUCUGGACUGCAGACUGGAGGCAGCAAUGGGGGUUACUGUUAAAGUUCAGAGUUAGCCAUUACUGAAAAUCUCAAGUAACUUCUCUGAACCGGAUUUAAGACUUCUUUUUUUUCAUGUUAACUCCAGGUUUGAUUGCCGGAAAAGGCUGACUACUAGAAUAGCAAAACCAGUCCGCCAUCCAGCAGUUGGGAAUCAAGGCCCUUCUUUACCAGAGCCCCAGCCACAUCCAUACUGUCACCCACCUUCCAGACACUCGGCACAACCAUUCACCCUAUUGAAUCAUGAGACUGUUUGAUCUUAUCUGCAUCUGUGAGCUGACUGUCAACCUGCUUACACUGCAUAUUAAAUCAUCUAUAGUAGCUGUAUCAAGCUGGGAUGAUCUGUUAAUUCUAAAUUUACUAACCCUUCGAGUGCAGUCGUUGUGUUUAAUCUAGUGUAGCCAGCAUUUAUUUUACAAGUCUAAAUCCUUCUUCAAGAUAUGUCUGUGCUGUAGGUUAAAAAAUCAUUAAUGUGUAGGAGAUGGUAAUUGGGAAGAGUUCACUUUGAUCUUUGGAAGCCAGUUGACAGCUUCACUGCUCCAAACACAUACGUGUGUGCUCUCACCACUCUCGCGUGCCCGGCGUGCUGGAUGUGUGCAUGCAUACGCACCUAAUGACACUUCCUUGCAGAAAGAGUUUUGCAUGAGACAAGGAAGAAGAGAGGCCUCAGACAAUGCCUUCAUUCCACGUCUCCAUGAAGACUUAUAAUCGAGAGGCAAAUUCCUGGUGCUGCAGCGCAGUGAGAGCAUGUGGCUGCAGGCAGAGCCCUGCGCCAGGAGGGCCAACAAACCUCCCUUCGAGGCAGCACCCAGCUUGAUGAAUGCCUGCAGCCAUUGCCAGCACCGGACAUCCCCACACACUGAGGACCACAGCCCCUGCCAGGCUUGAGAAAGGUCAAGUGCUGCUGUCCGCACCUCAACCAGCGUGCCCCCUCCUAGACACAGAUACAUACACAAAAAAUUGCAUGCAGAUAUGUACAUACAUCUAAAUAUGUUAAUCUGUUCACUGUACACACCCAUCUCUCCCUGUCCCACUCUCCUGUUAUCUAUUAUUCUUGCACGCUGCUGAUGGCAUCAACAUAUUCACAGCUUUUAUUUCAGUCACAAACUGGUAGGCAUGCUUCCUUUUUUGGUAAUCACAUGCCUGGUAUCUCUCUAAUGUAGCCUAAUAACAAUUUUAGCAUUCAGAUAAAAAGAUUUCAUUCUGUGAUUGCCUUUUCUAUUAGAUUUGAUUCUGAGAAGCCCCAGUGGGUGCCUCCGAGGCAGAGAUCUAUCUGUGAGGCUGCAACCGAUUCAAUAGCAGCCUGAGCUAACCUUGACCUUUCCCUAGACCCUACUCCAUCUGGUGCCAGCCUGGUCCCCCCCUUCUCCUCCUCCUUGCUUCACAGGCAGCAUUGAUCAAGACGAAAUCGAGCGGCUCUCUCCCUCGGAGGGCUGGGCAGUCACAGGAAGGACAGCACAUUUCACUAUAUGGAGACAACUGAGCUUCUUAUGCAAUCAUAUAUCUACAUAGAGGCUUCUGAUUUGAUAUUUCCUUCACUUCCUAAGGUUCUCCCCUCCCUCCCCCAGCAGGGAUUUAUAAACUAUAAGACAACCGCUUUCCCCAACACCUGGAAAUUAUAAAGCUGGCUGUUGGGAACGCAUCCUGGCGAUUUGAUCUGAUUUACUUGGCUUCUUAUUUAUUUCCUUGCAGCUCGCUCCAUCUUUUUCCUGCGUCCGUGGUUCUGUAUCUCUGUCUCUUCUUUCUGUUAUUUUCCCCUGUUCGGCGGCGGCCUUUAUUCAUCUCCUCGGGGAUGCCGGGUGCCGCUGUGGGUAGGCUGGAGGGGCCAGCUGGUGGCUGGCCGGCUCGGGAGGACCGGCUCCCUCCGAACCCCGGCACCGACUGUCGGCUCUCUCGGCCGCGUUUCUCUGUCUGGAAAUGAGAAGAGGCUCCCGCGAUCAAUCGGCACUCAGCACUUCGUGCUUCGUUUUCUUCCCCUCUUCUCCGCUCUGCCGCUGCACCUGGCCCCCAGCGCUGCCUGGCCCCCAGAGCUCAAGCGGAAUUGCGCCGUGCCCCACGGCCCCGCACCGCCCCACGGCCCCGCGCAGCCCCGCGCCGCUCGCCGAGGCGUUCCGACGCGCUCCCGCCCCCGUUCCCUCUUCGGCAGCAGCCGCGCUGGGGUUCGCCUCGCGGACAACCGCCGCGUCCGCGCUCUCAUCUCCUCUCAUCUCCGUGUGGGUUCCUUAAUUGCCAGGACGUUCGUUUACAAUCCGCGAUCUGCUUUUGCUUCCCAAGAAUUGUAGCAUGACCGCGUUUUCUCAUCUCACACCAGUCUUCAGAUUAUAUAACAGAUGAUGCAAAAUUAUAAUGACGAUCUAAUCUAUGCACACUGUAAUUAUAGAGUUUCCUGCACACACACAGCUCUUGCAGUAUCUGCAGAGCUGACAACUGGCUGUAGAUGCAGAGUACAAAAGAUAGAGACUGAUAUUUGGACCCACAUAUGUUUAAGAGAGAGAUAUUACUUAAUGGGAGAAGGGAUCUGGAAAUGCAUUUCUCUUUCUUCUGAGGAAUUUGUUUUGCUUUAUCUCCAUCGGUUGUAAUAGGAAGAAACUGUGAAUUACGCUGAAAAAAAAAAAAAGACAUAUACUCAAUUUAUCAGUUUACUAUUACAUUUCCUAUCUCCAGUGUUACAAAGAUUUAGAACAUUUCCAAAACUUUUGGAUCUAAUCUGUGUUUUGUGCAGCCUACAGUUUGUUUGCAGGACCUGCCACCACACGCCAGCCAAAAAUGAGUGUCAAUUAAUAACAAAAAACUCCCUUCCUUCCUUAUUUCUGCACUCUCAUACCUUAACGGAUAAAACUACUGAUGGUGAGAAUUUUCCAUUACCAACAGUUUUUAUUCUAAAGCACCAAAGCUUCCCCACAUAGAGCUGCUGAAUAUUUCCUUGCUUUUCCCAGUGGCAAUUUACGCACACCACUGCUCAUUUGAAAUAUAAAGAAUAUUCAGCACUUUCGGGAGUGUUUUUUCUGCUACCCAGAUCAGCCAGUAGAACCAAUUGCAAAUCCAGUGACUGCACUGUGCUGUUUGUGGCGUUCCAAAUUAGAAAUCAUUUGAAACCAGAAGUAGGAGGGUUUGUUGGUUUUGUCUUUUUUUUUUCUACUGUUUUCUACAACGUCAGAAGUAACUGAAAAAACAUUCACCCUUGUGACACAACAGAAUUUAUGAGCUCUUUUCUUUCUGAGCUACCUGAGCAGUCCUGUCAUCCCUGCAGAAAUGCCCAUGUGUGGGUUGCUGUUUAAAACCGUAUUCUACUUAUCAAUAAAAUGUGAAAUGGCUUAAAAAAC